RNAcentral lists this ribosomal RNA (449 nucleotides) under uncultured bacterium. RNAcentral describes it as "SSU rRNA". It matches the Rfam family "Bacterial small subunit ribosomal RNA", at positions 26 to 518 of the family's 1533-position model. The record is from RNAcentral.
AGAGCGAACGCUGGCGGCAGGCUUAACACAUGCAAGUCGAGCGGGCGUAGCAAUACGUCAGCGGCAGACGGGUGAGUAACGCGUGGGAACGUACCUUUUGGUUCGGAACAACCCAGGGAAACUUGGGCUAAUACCGGGAUAAGCCCUUACGGGGAAAGAUUUAUCGCCGAAAGAUCGGCCCGCGUCUGAUUAGCUAGUUGGUGAGGUAACGGCUCACCAAGGCGACGAUCAGUAGCUGGUCUGAGAGGAUGAUCAGCCACAUUGGGACUGAGACACGGCCCAAACUCCUACGGGAGGCAGCAGUGGGGAAUAUUGGACAAUGGGCGCAAGCCUGAUCCAGCCAUGCCGCGUGAGUGAUGAAGGCCCUAGGGUUGUAAAGCUCUUUUGUGCGGGAAGAUAAUGACGGUACCGCAAGAAUAAGCCCCGGCUAACUUCGUGCCAGCAGCCGC